Molecule: ribosomal RNA, 273 nt
Filed under: Vibrio vulnificus
Lineage: Bacteria; Pseudomonadati; Pseudomonadota; Gammaproteobacteria; Vibrionales; Vibrionaceae
Description: partial 16S ribosomal RNA
Rfam family: Bacterial small subunit ribosomal RNA
Source: RNAcentral
AAUCCCAAAAAGUGCGUCGUAGUCCGGAUUGGAGUCUGCAACUCGACUCCAUGAAGUCGGAAUCGCUAGUAAUCGUGGAUCAGAAUGCCACGGUGAAUACGUUCCCGGGCCUUGUACACACCGCCCGUCACACCAUGGGAGUGGGCUGCAAAAGAAGUGGGUAGUUUAACCUUCGGGAGGACGCUCACCACUUUGUGGUUCAUGACUGGGGUGAAGUCGUAACAAGGUAGCGCUAGGGGAACCUGGCGCUGGAUCACCUCCUUAUACGAUGAU